This 413-nucleotide ribosomal RNA is filed under the name Macrophomina sp. PVF38. RNAcentral's name for it is "eukaryotic LSU rRNA". The stretch from base 43 to 196 matches the Rfam family "5.8S ribosomal RNA". Lineage: Eukaryota; Fungi; Ascomycota; Dothideomycetes; Botryosphaeriales; Botryosphaeriaceae. The record is from RNAcentral.
CAGGAAACGUUGCAGUCUGAAAAAAAAUAUUAAAUAAACUAAAACUUUCAACAACGGAUCUCUUGGUUCUGGCAUCGAUGAAGAACGCAGCGAAAUGCGAUAAGUAAUGUGAAUUGCAGAAUUCAGUGAAUCAUCGAAUCUUUGAACGCACAUUGCGCCCCUUGGUAUUCCGGGGGGCAUGCCUGUUCGAGCGUCAUUUCAACCCUCAAGCUCUGCUUGGUAUUGGGCACCGUCCUUUGCGGGCGCGCCUCAAAGACCUCGGCGGUGGCGUCUUGCCUCAAGCGUAGUAGAAUACACCUCGCUUCGGAGCGUAAGGCGUCGCCCGCCGGACGAACCUUCUGAACUUUUCUCAAGGUUGACCUCGGAUCAGGUAGGGAUACCCGCUGAACUUAAGCAUAUCAAUAAGCGGAGGA